UGUACAGCGCGAAAUCUGAGAUAUCUUUUUAAAGACUGACGAAAGAGAGAAAAGAAGCAAAUGGACCGCUGCAAUUUGCUAAACAAAUGGAAUAUUCAAAAGUACCCGCUUGCUUGCUAGCCAUUUCAAGUCCGACCCAGCUGCAGGGAAAGAACGUAAUCGGUACACUGGAAGGAUUUUUCUACUGAACAAGGGAGCUGAUAGAGACAGACCCUGUGUAACACUUUUGUGGCUAUACGGAAAAGCUAGAAGACUCACAGGACAGGAACAGGUCUGUUCUUACAUAACUUCUCAUUUGUCGUAAGUUCCUUGUUGUUGUUCUGCCAAAUCUUAAUUAGCGAUUGGUCAGAAUCAUCCUUAAACUCCCAGAUUCUCGUGCAGAGCGGUAGGUAGUGUGCUGUUUUAAUUAAGGAGAGGUCAGAAGUAUUAACACGGCAGGUUCGGGCAGAGUGAUGCCGUGGUUGGCAGGGACUCGAUCCAGGAAGGGCGUGACUUCUACUUCCCACAGCAUAGCCAAGAUGGAGCUCUGCUUGUGAGAGACCUCGACAUCAAACGUUCCUGUGUCUUCCUGAGUGUCUGGGAUGGACAAGAGGAGAAAAAAUAACGAAAUGUGAAAAAAGUCCCACCAGGAUGCUGAAAGACAAGACCGGUCUGAUAUUAAAACUUCGAGGUGCGCUGAGGAGAAGCUCGGCUGGCAGGCCUCAACGCUGACUGACACCCUCCGACGAUAGCGAAAUCCAGCAGAUUAUACAAAACUGUCUUGGCAAGAGGAUGCAAAAAAUGUAACCUACAGACUGAUUCAAUAAAUGAGUCAGCAAAGCCGAGCGUUUUCCAUCUGAUAACGUCCGUCAUGGAGUCUCUGCGCAUGAUGUAAUUUCAUCAGGUUAAG
Molecule: long non-coding RNA, 889 nt
Organism: Triplophysa rosa
Lineage: Eukaryota; Metazoa; Chordata; Actinopteri; Cypriniformes; Nemacheilidae
Exons: 5
Source: RefSeq, a predicted model, not a curated record